Molecule: long non-coding RNA, 658 nt
Organism: Aedes albopictus (Asian tiger mosquito)
Lineage: Eukaryota; Metazoa; Arthropoda; Insecta; Diptera; Culicidae
Exons: 3
Source: RefSeq, a predicted model, not a curated record
ACGGUACACUUAAAAAAAUCCAAUGAUUUUUUGUAUAAGUCGUGACACAUACUUCUGCGGGAGAGUUCAUUUUGUCCCCUAUUAGGAUUCCACUUCCCUGUAAUAUUCACCACACAUAAUUGCGAUAAGCUACACCAGUGGAAUUUAUAUAUAAGAUCUAAUAGUUAAAAUCCAUAACAGCUCACACAUAAACCUAAUAUGGGAUGAAACUGAAAUGAAUUGCAGUUCGAAAUGAACUUUGUUUUGAUACUGAAUCAGUCACAUGGAUUUUUUCAAGACGCUGAAGCUAAGCGGAAAAUGAUGUGAUCCAACCGCAUCCUUGAAUCGAUUAGAAUCAGUUCCAAUGUGAAAGCCGCAGUGACUGUGAGCAGGAACUUUUCGGAGGUUGCUUCACCAGGAAUGUUGCAGAAAUGGAGCUGUUCCCGAAUGCAUGAAAACAAAAAACUACGCAAAACUGUGUGACGAUUGAUGUCUGGGUUCUUUCCGUUCAAUAUGAAUUAUAAUUUUGAGGAGCGGACCUAGUGUGGAUCAACAGAAUGAUAUCAUUGCAAAGUUUAAUACGUGUACUAACCAAAGAUUAUGGAAUAAAAAAGCCUUUAUGAAUGAUUCUUAAAUGUUUUAACAAUUUCAAUAAAAACGAUAAAAGCUAUUUUAUGAA